This 253-nucleotide unclassified non-coding RNA is filed under the name uncultured Hymenobacteraceae bacterium. RNAcentral describes it as "contains 16S-23S intergenic spacer region". It matches the Rfam family "Bacterial small subunit ribosomal RNA", at positions 524 to 776 of the family's 1533-position model. The record is from RNAcentral. Lineage: Bacteria; Pseudomonadati; Bacteroidota; Cytophagia; Cytophagales; Hymenobacteraceae.
UACGGAGGGUGCAAGCGUUGUCCGGAUUUACUGGGUUUAAAGGGUGCGUAGGCGGCCCCUUAAGUCAGCGGUGAAAGCCCGGGGCUCAACCCCGGAACCGCCGUUGAUACUGGGGGGCUUGAGUACAGACGAGGUAGGCGGAAUUGAAGAUGUAGCGGUGAAAUGCUUGGAUAUCUUCAAGAACACCGAUUGCGUAGGCAGCUUACUAGGCUGUAACUGACGCUGAGGCGCGAAAGCGUGGGGAGCGAACAGG